Long non-coding RNA from Toxotes jaculatrix (banded archerfish), 923 nucleotides. RefSeq lists it as uncharacterized. The transcript is spliced from 3 exons. The record is from RefSeq and is a predicted model, not a curated record. NCBI's taxonomy places the organism in Eukaryota, Metazoa, Chordata, Actinopteri, Toxotidae.
UCGAAUUUUACAGCCAUAGUAAGUUGAGUAAAAACAGUAGAGCAUUAUUCUAGGCUCAGCCCCUCCCUCGUUCCUUGCUCUUAUUUACCUUUCUCCAUUUGCACCAAAAGGAAACAACAAAUACUGUAUACUCUAAUGUAACCUCACUGUUUGGAUUCACCUUGUGUCUUGUGUUGCUUCCAGUUAAAGUGCCACUUGCUUUCUUAUCUAACCCACCUUGAAUUUUUCUCUUACCGCAUCAGCUUCACACAACUGCCUGGCUGCCAUUAGGAGUGUGUUGGAUAACAUGGUCUCAGACACUCAACUGUUCAGCAAAAUUGUUGGGACUUCUGCCCAGAAUAGGGACACUGUGGACCACUUUUUGAAGCAAGACCUCAGACAAGCAAACACCGGAGAGGUUACAUCCUGUCGGCAGUGGAAGGAUUGAGAGGCGCCAACAAAGGGACACAUCAAACAACAGUAUCUGAUGGGCUAUGCCAAGACCAACGCUUGCAUCACACACUCCAGUGUAACACAUUAGUCAGAACAUUUGACACAGCAACACAGGGAAGCAUUAACCACACUGGUGCAAUGAGGGUUAGGUAGGAGGUAAACAUGCCAGAUGUCUUAAAGACGAUUAAGAAACUAUUAUUAACUAUUUCAACUGGCCACUCAAGGGAGGCCCCAACAGCCAAAACACUGUACCACUGAAUUUGGAUGGCUGAAACUAGAAUUGGUAUACCUGGAUUUAUCUGCAGGAAAAGCUUUGACAUGCCUGUCACACUAUGACUAAUAAUUCAAAAUAGAUUGUUUUUUUUUUUGUUUUUCUUUUAACAGUUUUCUUCAUAAAUACAUCAGACAAACUUAAUGUGGAAACAAAUUCAUUUUUCACGCCCUGAGCAUAAUCAAAAGCAUGAUGGCAUGAUAACAUAUAAUGUAAUCAA